AGUUCGGAUUGUAGGCUGAAACUCGCCUACAUGAAGCUGGAGUUGCUAGUAAUCGCGAAUCAGCAUGUCGCGGUAAAUACGUUCCCGGGCCUUGUACACACCGCCCGUCACACCAUGAGAGUUGGCAAUACCCAACGUACGUGAUCUAACCCGCAAGGGAGGAAGCGUCCUAAGGUAGGGUCAGCGAUUGGGGUGAAGUCGUAACAAGGUAAC
RNAcentral lists this ribosomal RNA (213 nucleotides) under uncultured bacterium. RNAcentral's name for it is "partial 16S ribosomal RNA". It matches the Rfam family "Bacterial small subunit ribosomal RNA", at positions 1290 to 1500 of the family's 1533-position model. The record is from RNAcentral.